GGCUAAUGGGAGAGCGAGAAUGGGAACCGACGCGAUGCUCUUCUUUCCUAUCCAUCGUUCAGCACGGCUUCCGUUUUGUGCGUGGCUUCGCAUUUGUUGAUGGGCUUCUGUUUUCACUCGCCCAUCCUAAACAACGGGGGACCGGAAUUGGAAACAGCCAGCUACUAAAGCCAGAGAUUUGCGAGCUAAGGCUAAUAAUUUGAGGGCUUCGAAUGAAACCCAAUUUAUUUAUACGCUCUGCGGCACUGAAGGGUGUAAUCUGAGCAUCUGCUCGGUGCCUAGUAAGUCGUGCUCCGGAUCCGUCGACGAGCGUAUAUCGUUGCCAGAGACGCCGCAGCAACAAGCCAAGAUCCCUCUCUCGAAGAACAGCCUUGCUCAGGAAGUUACUACCGCAGUCGCCCCACGUACGGCCCACCAGUGGG
Long non-coding RNA from Drosophila persimilis, 422 nucleotides. RefSeq lists it as uncharacterized. The transcript is spliced from 4 exons. The record is from RefSeq and is a predicted model, not a curated record. NCBI's taxonomy places the organism in Eukaryota, Metazoa, Arthropoda, Insecta, Diptera, Drosophilidae.